RNAcentral lists this ribosomal RNA (460 nucleotides) under uncultured bacterium. RNAcentral describes it as "bacterial SSU rRNA". It matches the Rfam family "Bacterial small subunit ribosomal RNA", at positions 40 to 509 of the family's 1533-position model. The record is from RNAcentral.
CGGUGCGCCUUAUGCAUGCAAGUCGAGCGAAGCUUUUCAGUAGUUUACUACAGAAAAUGACUGAGCGGCGAACGGGUGAGUAACGCGUGAGCAAUCUACCUUAGUUACAGGGAUAGCCCGAGGAAACUCGGAUUAAUACCUGAUAUUCUUUAUAUUUCGCAUGAAAUUAAAAGGAAAGGUCAGCCGAACUAAGAUGAGCUCGCGUUCUAUCAGCUAGUUGGUGAGGUAAAAGCUCACCAAGGCUACGACGGAUAGCUGGUAUGAGAGGACGAUCAGCCACACUGGGACUGAGACACGGCCCAGACUCCUACGGGAGGCUGCAGCAGGGAAUAUUGCGCAAUGAGCGAAAGCUUGACGCAGCGACACCGCGUGUGGGAUGACGGAUCUAGGUUUGUAAACCACUUUCAGGAGGGAAGAAAAUGACGGUACCUCCACAAGAAGCCCCGGCCAACUACGUGCC